RNAcentral lists this transfer RNA (80 nucleotides) under Altererythrobacter sp. 66-12. RNAcentral's name for it is "tRNA-Val". The record is from RNAcentral. Lineage: Bacteria; Pseudomonadati; Pseudomonadota; Alphaproteobacteria; Sphingomonadales; Erythrobacteraceae.
GCGAGCGUUCGCCUGCGUUCGUGAUGAAGCUACCCUUCACACGGGUGGGGUCGCAGGUUCAAUCCCUGCCGCGCCCACCA